Molecule: long non-coding RNA, 902 nt
Filed under: Felis catus (domestic cat)
Lineage: Eukaryota; Metazoa; Chordata; Mammalia; Carnivora; Felidae
Description: lncRNA (ENSFCAG00000043314.2)
Source: RNAcentral
UCAGGACUUUCCUUCCUCUCUCUGGCUAUGCUGUGGCUAUUGAAACAAGGGUGGGGGGGAGCAACUGACAGCCCUCAUUAGGCCUGAAGCUGUGAGUCUGACUGUGUCCAGCGGGUCUAGAGUGGCCCAGCAGGGGAUGCCGGGAACCUCAUGCUGGCUCUGGUUUAUGGUAAUAUGAACGAGUGGAUCAGAAUGUCAGCGGUGGAAGGGACCUUUGGGAUCCUUUCAUCAAUCCAACCUUCCUUUACAGAUGAAGAAAAUGAGAGCCAGAGAAGAGAAGGAUUUCUUCAAGGUCACACGGUGAAUAUGUCACAGCCAGAACUAGAACUCAGGUCCCUUCACGAAUGGCUUGGUGGCUUUCCUGUUACACAUGGACCCCGAAGGUCCUUCAUGUUGCACACGAGUGUGCUUUCAGCCAGAAUUUUGUGGUGCUCAGUGGAAGUCUGGAGCCUGUAUGUUUCUUCAUCUCUCACCACUGCACCGGUUGGCCCCACCCUCAGAUCAAACAGCAUGAUGGCCCUGGAGAGAUGAGCUGGAGUAGAUGAGGCAGCCUCUCUAGAAGCAGCUCUGGUUUACAGAAGGAGAAAAUGCCAACUGGUUUUUUAUGCCAUAAAAACACAUCCAUCAUCCAAAUACAGCCAGUCAGGAGAGUCUGACCUGUGUGGCUGACCUCUGGAGCCGGGCUGUGGUCUCAGCCAUGUGGAGACUGCGGGAGAAGUCAGUGUAGCUCUGACCACCAGGCUCACUGGCUGGCUCGCUCUACCUGCUCCAGGUGCCGUUGGCUCUGACUUGAAGGUAGAAGAAGCCGGAGGCAACUUUCCCAGCCAGCACACAGCGUCAUUUCUGUUUCUUGAAGAAGGCACCCUGGUUCCAUAAAUAAAGAUCCUUGGGGUGAGUUGACA